GGGGGAGUAGCUUAAUGGUAAAGCGCCUGCGUAAGACACAGAUGAUUGAGGGUUCGAGUCCCUUCUCCUCCACC
This 74-nucleotide transfer RNA is filed under the name subsurface metagenome. Its description in RNAcentral is "tRNA-Leu". It matches the Rfam family "tRNA". Rfam says of the family: Transfer RNA (tRNA) molecules are approximately 80 nucleotides in length. Their secondary structure includes four short double-helical elements and three loops (D, anti-codon, and T loops). The record is from RNAcentral.